This 254-nucleotide ribosomal RNA is filed under the name uncultured bacterium. RNAcentral describes it as "partial 16S ribosomal RNA". It matches the Rfam family "Bacterial small subunit ribosomal RNA", at positions 524 to 776 of the family's 1533-position model. The record is from RNAcentral.
UACGUAGGCACCAAGCGUUGUCCGGAUUUAUUGGGCGUAAAGAGCUCGUAGGCGGUUCAGUAAGUCGGGUGUGAAAACUCUGGGCUCAACCCAGAGACGCCACCCGAUACUGCUGUGACUUGAGUACGGUAGGGGAGUGGGGAAUUCCUGGUGUAGCGGUGAAAUGCGCAGAUAUCAGGAAGAACACCAACGGCGAAGGCAGCUCGCUGGGACGGUACUGACGCUGAGACGCGAAAGCGUGGGGAGCGAACAGG